This 351-nucleotide ribosomal RNA is filed under the name uncultured gamma proteobacterium 400m-ATT-12. Its description in RNAcentral is "bacterial SSU rRNA". It matches the Rfam family "Bacterial small subunit ribosomal RNA", at positions 8 to 362 of the family's 1533-position model. Lineage: Bacteria; Pseudomonadati; Pseudomonadota; Gammaproteobacteria. The record is from RNAcentral.
AGAGUUUGAUCAUGGCUCAGAUUGAACGCUGGCAGCAGGCCUAACACAUGCAAGUCGAACGGUAACAGGAUUAGCUUGCUAAUCGCUGACGAGUGGCGGACGGGUGAGUAAUGCUUGGGAACUUGCCUGUGCGAGGGGGAUAACAGUUGGAAACGACUGCUAAUACCGCAUAACGUCUACGGACCAAACGGGGCUUAUGCUCCGGCGCAAACAGACGCCCAAGUGAGAUUAGCUAGUUGGUAAGGUAAAGGCUUACCAAGGCAACGAUCUCUAGCUGUUCUGAGAGGAAGAUCAGCCACACUGGAACUGGAGACACAGUCCAUACUCCUACCGGAGGCAGCAUUGGGGAAU